UACGAAGGGUGCAAGCGUUACUCGGAAUUACUGGGCGUAAAGCGUGCGUAGGCGGUUUGUUAAGUCCGUUGUGAAAGCCCUGGGCUCAACCUGGGAAUUGCAGUGGAUACUGGCGAGCUAGAGUGCGGUAGAGGAUGGUGGAAUUCCCGGUGUAGCGGUGAAAUGCGUAGAGAUCGGGAGGAACACCCGUGGCGAAGGCGGCCAUCUGGACCAGCACUGACGCUGAGGCACGAAAACGUGGGGAGCAAACAGG
Molecule: ribosomal RNA, 253 nt
Filed under: uncultured bacterium
Lineage: Bacteria
Description: partial 16S ribosomal RNA
Rfam family: Bacterial small subunit ribosomal RNA
Source: RNAcentral